RNAcentral lists this ribosomal RNA (548 nucleotides) under Rhizophagus intraradices. RNAcentral describes it as "SSU rRNA". It matches the Rfam family "Eukaryotic small subunit ribosomal RNA", at positions 548 to 1099 of the family's 1831-position model. The record is from RNAcentral. Lineage: Eukaryota; Fungi; Glomeromycota; Glomeromycetes; Glomerales; Glomeraceae.
UUGGAGGGCAAGUCUGGUGCCAGCAGCCGCGGUAAUUCCAGCUCCAAUAGCGUAUAUUAAAGUUGUUGCAGUUAAAAAGCUCGUAGUUGAAUUUCGGGGUUAGUAGGUUGGUCAUGCCUCUGGUAUGUACUGGUCUCACUGAUUCCUCCUUCCUUAUGAACCGUAAUGCCAUUAAUUUGGUGUUGCGGGGAAUUUGGACUGUUACUUGGAAAAAAUUAGAGUGUUUAAAGCAGGCUAACGCUUGAAUACAUUAGCAUGGAAUAAUGAAAUAGGACGUUCGAUCUUAUUUUGUUGGUUUCUAGGAUUGACGUAAUGAUUAAUAGGGAUAGUUGGGGGCAUUAGUAUUCAAUUGUCAGAGGUGAAAUUCUUGGAUUUAUUGCAGACUAACUACUGCGAAAGCAUUUGCCAAGGAUGUUUUCAUUAAUCAAGAACGAAAGUUAGGGGAUCGAAGACGAUCAGAUACCGUCGUAGUCUUACCAUAACUAUGCCGACUAGGGAUCGGAUGAUGUUAAUUUUUUAAUGACUCAUUCGGCGCCUUACGGGAAACA